Molecule: long non-coding RNA, 809 nt
Filed under: Homo sapiens (human)
Lineage: Eukaryota; Metazoa; Chordata; Mammalia; Primates; Hominidae
Description: non-protein coding HAND2-AS1:78
Source: RNAcentral
AAUGCAAGUGUUUAACAGAUGCUUCACUAUUAAAAUAUUUUCCCCCCAAGUCUCAAAUAUUGAAGAAUCUCUAACCAGGCUCGAAACGCCGGUCUCAGUGGCUAUUGAGUUACCCACCAAGUUACCCCGGGACACCAGUCCCUACGAAGACCUUGGGCGAUUUUGAAGUGCGGGCACCUCGAUUCCCCGAAUCUGUAGUGUGGCUGGUAUCGGUGUUCCCCUGGUUUAACUAGCCUGUUUGAAGGCACAGAUCAUUCAUGGGGAUGUAUAACCGAAACCAGUCCUCUCCACCGCCUGGGGAUCUUCACUUUCGCAGUCUACGACUGCCUGUGACUCCAGAAAGACAAACUGCAGAUUGGCCAAGGUACAUCUCAGAUCAGAUCCCUCUGGGAAAAGCGCGGGAAUGCUUGGCUCUAGUAGUUAGGAGCUCUGGUGAGAGCGCCCCUAGUGCCAUUUUCCCAUCCCUGCCCUUGACAGUCCCCUUUGGUCUAAAUUCACGGUUCUAGACAGUCAAAGUCUACCUGCUGGGUGUCCACUCUCAAGCCAUAGGUUUUCAAUCCUAAAAGGGAUUAGGACCUUGGCUCAAAAUGUGGUCAACGCAGUGUUCAAAUUAGGAGGGCAGCUGGGAGAUGGCAGCAGGGGAUGAAAGUAUGACUCCUACUUCGUCCGCAACUGUGGGUCUGGCACCUCUUGACUUGCCAGUAUGCUGGCAAACAACCCAUCUCUCUUGGAGAAUCCACACUUCGUUUCUUCUAGGUCCAGCCUAAAUGUUACCUCCUCCAGGGAGCCUUUCCAGAUACUGCUUCUCC